UCCGGUUUGACACCGGCAGUCUCCCUAGAGUGCCCGGCUUUACCCGCUGGUAACUAGGGACGAGGGUUGCGCUCGUUGCGGGACUUAACCCAACAUCUCACGACACGAGCUGACGACAGCCACGCAGCACCUAUGCAGCAGUUCUUGCGAAAAGGGAUAUUUCUACCCCGGUCCACUGCAUUUCGAGCCCAGGUAAGGUUCUUCGCGUUGCGUCGAAUUGAACCACAUGCUCCACUGCUUGUGCGGGCCCCCGUCAAUUCCUUUGAGUUUCAAUCUUGCGAUCGUACUUCCCAGGUGGGAUACUUAAUGCUUUCGCUCAGACACCAACUGUGUAUCGCUGAUGUCGAGUAUCCAUCGUUUACGGCGUGGACUAC
This 374-nucleotide unclassified non-coding RNA is filed under the name uncultured bacterium. Its description in RNAcentral is "contains 16S-23S intergenic spacer region". The record is from RNAcentral.